Long non-coding RNA from Dicentrarchus labrax (European seabass), 230 nucleotides. RefSeq lists it as uncharacterized. The record is from RefSeq and is a predicted model, not a curated record. The transcript is spliced from 3 exons. Lineage: Eukaryota; Metazoa; Chordata; Actinopteri; Moronidae.
CUCUUUCUCCCUUCGUGUUGUGGUCUGCUGUUCCAUCUGUCUGUGUUCUGCUUCUACUGGUUCUACUGGUCCUACUGGUGACACGAUGCACCCAUAGAAAACCUAGAGCUGCUGAAGUAGAAAGUGGGGGUGGUGACAUCCUGGAUGACAUCACAUACACUGAAAUAUCACGUCAGCAACAACAGCCAAUCAGACGGAUCACAGAGAGUGAUCCAGCUGCAGUUUACUCA